RNAcentral lists this ribosomal RNA (497 nucleotides) under uncultured bacterium. RNAcentral describes it as "partial 16S ribosomal RNA". It matches the Rfam family "Bacterial small subunit ribosomal RNA", at positions 28 to 507 of the family's 1533-position model. The record is from RNAcentral.
GAUGAACGCUGGCGGCGUGCCUAAUACAUGCAAGUCGAGCGAACAGACGAGGAGCUUGCUCCUCUAACGUUAGCGGCGGACGGGUGAGUAACACGUGGAUAACCUACCUAUAAGACUGGGAUAACUUCGGGAAACCGGAGCUAAUACCGGAUAAUAUAUUGAACCGCAUGGUUCAAUAGUGAAAGACGGUUUUGCUGUCACUUAUAGAUGGAUCCGCGCCGCAUUAGCUAGUUGGUAAGGUAACAGCUUACCAAGGCAACGAUGCGUAGCCGACCUGAGAGGGUGAUCGGCCACACUGGAACUGAGACACGGUCCAGACUCCUACGGGAGGCAGCAGUAGGGAAUCUUACGCAAUGGGCGAAAGCCUGACGGAGCAACGCCGCGUGAGUGAUGAAGGUCUUCGGAUCGUAAAACUCUGUUAUUAGGGAAGAACAAAUGUGUAAGUAACUAUGCACGUCUUGACGGUACCUAAUCAGAAAGCCACGGCUAACUACGUG